This 390-nucleotide ribosomal RNA is filed under the name uncultured bacterium. RNAcentral describes it as "bacterial SSU rRNA". It matches the Rfam family "Bacterial small subunit ribosomal RNA", at positions 109 to 507 of the family's 1533-position model. The record is from RNAcentral.
AGUAACGCGUGAGGAACCUGCCUCAAAGAGGGGGACAACAGUUGGAAACGACUGCCUAAUACCGCAUAAGCCCCACGGCUCGGCAUCGAGCGAGAGGGAAAAGGAGCAAUCCGCUUUGAGAUGGCCUCGCGUCCGAUUAGCUAGUUGGUGAGGUAACGGCCCCACCAAGGCGACGAUCCGGUAGCCGGACUGACGAGGUUGAACGGCCACAUUGGGACUGAGACACGGCCCAGGACUCCUACGGGAGGCAGCAGUGGGGAAUAGUUGCACAAUGGGGGAAACCCUGAUGCAGCGACGCCGCGUGGAGGAAGAAGGUCUUCGGAUUGUAAACUCCUGUUGUUGAGGAAGAUAAUGACGGUACUCAACAAGGAAGUGACGGCUAACUACGUG